UCCGGAGGGUGCAAGCGUUGUCCGGAAUCCUUGGGUGUAAAGGGUGCGCAGGCGGAAGUUUAAGUCGGAGGUGAAAGUUUGUCGCUUAACGGUAAAAGCGCCUUCGAAACUGGAUUUCUUGAGUUCGGAAGAGGUCGGUGGAAUUCGUGGUGUAGCGGUGAAAUGCAUAGAUAUCACGAAGAACACCAGUGGCGAAGGCGGCCGACUGGUCCGAUACUGACGCUGAGGCACGAGAGCGUGGGGAGCGAACAGG
RNAcentral lists this ribosomal RNA (253 nucleotides) under uncultured bacterium. RNAcentral describes it as "partial 16S ribosomal RNA". It matches the Rfam family "Bacterial small subunit ribosomal RNA", at positions 524 to 776 of the family's 1533-position model. The record is from RNAcentral.